RNAcentral lists this ribosomal RNA (406 nucleotides) under uncultured bacterium. RNAcentral's name for it is "partial 16S ribosomal RNA". It matches the Rfam family "Bacterial small subunit ribosomal RNA", at positions 30 to 526 of the family's 1533-position model. The record is from RNAcentral.
AUUGAACGCUGGCGGCAGGCCUAACACAUGCAAGUCGAACGAGUGGCGGACGGGUGAGUAAUGUCUGGGAAACUGCCUUAUGGAGGGGGAUAACUACUGGAAACUGUAGCUAAUACCGCAUACCAUCGGAUGUGCCCAGGUGGGAUUAGCUAGUGGGUGGGGUAAAGGCUCACCUAGGCGACGAUCGCUAGCUGGUCUGAGAGGAUGACCAGCCACACUGGAACUGAGACACGGCCCAGACUCCUACGGGAGGCAGCAGUGGGGAAUAUUGCGCAAUGGGGGCAAGCCUGACGCAGCCAUGCCGCGUGAAUGAAGAAGGCCUUCGGGUUGUAAAGUUCUUUCGGCAGGGAGGCGUUACCCACAGAAGAAGCACCGGCUAACUCCGUGCCAGCAGCCGCGGUAAUAC